AUUGAACGCUGGCGGCAGGCCUAACACAUGCAAGUCGAGCGAGCGGCGGACGGGUGAGUAAUGUCUGGGAAACUGCCUGAUGGAGGGGGAUAACUACUGGAAACGGUAGCUAAUACCGCAUACCAUCAGAUGUGCCCAGAUGGGAUUAGCUAGUAGGUGGGGUAACGGCUCACCUAGGCGACGAUCCCUAGCUGGUCUGAGAGGAUGACCAGCCACACUGGAACGGAGACACGGUCCAGACUCCUACGGGAGGAAGCAGUGGGGAAUAUUGCACAAUGGGCGCAAGCCUGAGGCAGCCAUGCCGCGUGUAUGAAGAAGGCCCUCGGGUUGUAAAGUACUUUCAGUGGGGAGGCGUUACCCGCAGAAGAAGCACCGGCUAACUCCGUGCCAGCCGCCGCGGUAAUAC
RNAcentral lists this ribosomal RNA (406 nucleotides) under uncultured bacterium. RNAcentral describes it as "partial 16S ribosomal RNA". It matches the Rfam family "Bacterial small subunit ribosomal RNA", at positions 30 to 526 of the family's 1533-position model. The record is from RNAcentral.